Molecule: ribosomal RNA, 364 nt
Filed under: Wolbachia pipientis
Lineage: Bacteria; Pseudomonadati; Pseudomonadota; Alphaproteobacteria; Rickettsiales; Anaplasmataceae
Description: bacterial SSU rRNA
Rfam family: Bacterial small subunit ribosomal RNA
Source: RNAcentral
UGUCGUCAGCUCGUGUCGUGAGAUGUUGGGUUAAGUCCCGCAACGAGCGCAACCCUCAUCCUUAGUUACCAUCAGGUAAUGCUGGGGACUUUAAGGAAACUGCCAGUGAUAAACUGGAGGAAGGUGGGGAUGAUGUCAAGUCAUCAUGGCCCUUAUGGAGUGGGCUACACACGUGCUACAAUGGUGGCUACAAUGGGCUGCAAAGUCNCGAGGCUAANCUAAUCCCUUAAAAGCCAUCUCAGUUCGGAUUGUACUCUGCAACUCGAGUGCAUGAAGUUGGAAUCGCUAGUAAUCGUGGAUCAGCACGCCACGGUGAAUACGUUCUCGGGUCUUGUACACACUGCCCGUCACGCCAUGGGAAUUG